Bubalus bubalis (water buffalo) is the source of this 900-nucleotide long non-coding RNA. RefSeq lists it as uncharacterized. Lineage: Eukaryota; Metazoa; Chordata; Mammalia; Artiodactyla; Bovidae. The record is from RefSeq and is a predicted model, not a curated record. The transcript has 3 exons.
AACUCAAAUACUUUAGCCACUUGAUACAAAGAGCUGACUCAUUAAAAGAGAUCCCGAUGCUGGGAAAGAUUGAGGGCAAGAGAUGUAACGACAGAGGAGGCGGUGCUUUGAUGGUAUCACUGCCUCAAUGGACAUGAGUUUCAGCAAGCUCCAGGAGAUGGUGAAGGACAAGGAAGCCUGGCAUGCUGCAGUUUAUGGGGUCAAAAAGAGUUGGACCUGCAACUGAACAACAACAACAUUGUGCACGUUAAUACUAAACCAGGUCACCUAGCCAGGCACCAGAGGAUCCUGGUUACACAUGAGAACUUUUCAAAGUAUAGAAAAAGGAAAUUUGAAACAUUCUGACUGUAUAGAUUACUACAAACUAAUGGCAAUGGAAGGCUGCUUGAUAACUGUCUAAAAAGGAAAAAAGGAUGGGCAACUAAGGAACUAUCUUAUAAUUCAGUCUGUCAAGUGUGUUCCUGUGUCUAAAUGUGUGUCUUUGGUCUCCAGAAAAAUUAUAAAUAUUGGUAAAACUAAAAACAAAUAUUAAAAAGCACAUCAGAAUGAGUGAUAAGGGAGAUACACCUGCUAAAGACUGAUAAAAAUCUUCCUUUUUAGUAUUUAUAACUUGGUUAAAGGAUCUCCUUUGUUAAUUUCUAUUCUUAGACUAAAUCAGCAAUGCUGUGAUGGCUCCUUGUUAAAGGAAUGACAUAAAAAUUCUGGAAAGCCAGGCUAGAAAACCUGCCUUGGUUGCAAAAGUCUAUUUGCACCAGUCACUUGCACCUCUGUCCCAUUGAGAUGAGAUCAGUAGCUCAGUCGUGUCCGACUCUUUGCAACCCCAUGAAUUGCAGAUUGCCAGGCCUCCCUGUCCAUCACCAACUCCCGGAGUUCACUGAGACUCACGACCAUCGAUCAGUG